GCGAGUACAGCCCUGCCACCUCUGGAGUUCAGCCCAGUGAAAGUGCUUUCAGACUUCUGACCUCCAGAACUGUGGACCGACCAUGGACUGAUGGAAAAAGGAACCACGAGGAGCUCCAACAAUGGGAAUGUGGUUGCCUCUUCCUAGUGCAACACCUGGGUUCUGGAGUGGUGCAUGCCAGGUAUUUGGCAUGAAGGUGGAACAAGCAAGGAUGGUGCUGGUGUUUGUAGCCACAACCAAUGUGGUGUGAGCAGGGCCUGUUGCUGGCAGCUCUGAGUGGACAAGAGUUCCAUGACAGAAGAGCUGAAGGCUUCUUGUCCUGCAUCUUCUUCCCCGACAUCAGCAAGCUUGGAGAGCUGGGUGGGUGGUCUUCAUCCAGCACCUUCCUGGCCGCCUUCUCUGGCUGCAGGGAGCAGCCCGGGGCCGGGGCCGGGGCCGGGGCCAGGAGCACUGCUGGAGCCGGGUCAGGCUUCCCAAGGGGAAGGCCACCUCCAGCAGGGCUGUGUGAGCUGGGGGCCUCAUGGCCCUCCCAGAAGGAGCCACUCACUGGAGACACCUGGGCCUUCUCUCUCAAAUGGUUUUCCAACAGGUAGGGGUGGGCAUUUCCCUGCAGAGGCCCGGGCCUGCACCCGAAGGAGGUGAGGUCUCCCUGGGUCUCCAGGGCCCUAGACGUGGAUGAAGUCCUGCCGUGGCUACGGGGGCUCUUUUCUUGUCAUCCUGCUCCUGGGUCUCUACGUGAUGCUCCUGCGUCACUGUUCUGGGCUCCUCUUCGGCCCUACCCUCAGUCUCCUUCGGGAGCCUGGCUGGGACCUGCUUAGGUGGUGAAGGCAGCGGGAGGGCGAACUUGCGGACGGGAGGAGGGUCCUCAGGGACCCUGGGUGCAGCAACCUUCGGGAGUUCCCAACAGGUGGCUCAGAGGCCACAGCCUGCAGGAACUCCAGAGGGUCACCCUUGUCAUGUGGGAGAGGACAAGGGGUGCCACACAAGCUGCCUGGAGAGGAGGGCCUAGGAGGCCGCCGCGGGUUGAACAGGAAUAAGAAAGGGCCUGGCUGUCCUGGGCAGGCGCAGAGGCCUUUAGGGCAAGGGGCGGCCGCUGGCCCGAGAGCCUGCAGGCAGACCAGAGAAGAAACGUGUGAAGUAAAUUGCCCAUCUCCACCGAGGGACAGAAGCAAGGCAAUGAACCUCCAUCCGGC
RNAcentral lists this long non-coding RNA (1193 nucleotides) under Homo sapiens (human). RNAcentral's name for it is "non-protein coding lnc-TLE1-13:1". The record is from RNAcentral. Lineage: Eukaryota; Metazoa; Chordata; Mammalia; Primates; Hominidae.